RNAcentral lists this ribosomal RNA (919 nucleotides) under uncultured bacterium. Its description in RNAcentral is "bacterial SSU rRNA". It matches the Rfam family "Archaeal small subunit ribosomal RNA", at positions 1 to 922 of the family's 1478-position model. The record is from RNAcentral.
UUUCCGGUUGAUCCUGCCAGAGGUCACUGCUAUCGGUGUUCGACUAAGCCAUGCGAGUCAAAUGUUCUUCGUGAACAUGGCGUACUGCUCAGUAACACGUGGAUAACCUGCCCUUAGGUCUGGCAUAACCCCGGGAAACUGGGGAUAAUUCCGGAUAGAUCAUCGAUGCUGGAAUGCGCUUUGAUCCAAAGCUAUUGUGCCUAAGGAUGGGUCUGCGGUCUAUCAGGUUGUAGUGGGUGUAAUGUACCUACUAGCCUACGACGGAUACGGGUUGUGGGAGCAAGAGCCCGGAGAUGGAUUCUGAGACAUGAAUCCAGGCCCUACGGGGCGCAGCAGGCGCGAAAACUUUACAAUGCGGGGAACCGCGAUAAGGGGACACCGAGUGCCAGCAUCCUAUGUUGGCUGUCCAUAUGUCUAAAUCACAUGUGUUAGCAAGGGCCGGGCAAGACCGGUGCCAGCCGCCGCGGUAACACCGGCGGCCCGAGUGGUGGCCACUAUUAUUGGGUCUAAAGGGUCCGUAGCCGGUUUGGUCAGUCUUCCGGGAAAUCUGACGGCUCAACCGUUAGGCUUUCGGGGGAUACUACCAGGCUUGGGACCGGGAGAGGUAAGAGGUACUACGGGGGUAGGAGUGAAAUCUUGUAAUCCCUGUGGGACCACCAGUGGCGAAGGCGUCUUACCAGAACGGGUCCGACGGUGAGGGACGAAAGCUGGGGGCACGAACCGGAUUAGAUACCCGGGUAGUCCCAGCUGUAAACUAUGCUCGCUAGGUGUCAGGGACGGUGCGACUGUUUCUGGUGCCGCAGGGAAGCCGUGAAGCGAGCCACCUGGGAAGUACGGUCGCAAGGCUGAAACUUAAAGGAAUUGGCGGGGGAGCACUACAACGGGUGGAGCCUGCGGUUUAAUUGGACUCAACGCCGGG